GAUGAACGCUCGCGGCAGGCCUAAUACAUGCAAGUCGAGGGGUAUGGGUUGCUUGCCACCCAGAGACCGGCGCACGGGUGCGUAACGCGUAUGCAAUCUACCUUAAUCAGGGGGAUAGCCCGGAGAAAUCCGGAUUAACACCGCAUAACAUUGAGUUGUGGCAUCACAGUUCAAUCAAAUAUUUAUAGGAUUAAGAUGAGCAUGCGUGACAUUAGUUAGUUGGUGAGGUAACGGCUCACCAAGACCACGAUGUCUAGGGGAUCUGAGAGGAUGACCCCCCACACUGGUACUGAGACACGGACCAGACUCCUACGGGAGGCAGCAGUAAGGAAUAUUGGUCAAUGGGCGCAAGCCUGAACCAGCCAUGCCGCGUGCAGGAAGACGGCCCUAUGGGUUGUAAACUGCUUUUGUACCGGAAUAAACCUUCUCUUGCGAGAGAAGCUGAACGUACGGUAAGAAUAAGGAUCGGCUAACUCCGUG
Molecule: ribosomal RNA, 480 nt
Filed under: uncultured bacterium
Lineage: Bacteria
Description: partial 16S ribosomal RNA
Rfam family: Bacterial small subunit ribosomal RNA
Source: RNAcentral